This 476-nucleotide ribosomal RNA is filed under the name uncultured organism. Its description in RNAcentral is "partial 16S ribosomal RNA". It matches the Rfam family "Bacterial small subunit ribosomal RNA", at positions 330 to 797 of the family's 1533-position model. The record is from RNAcentral.
CGUACACUCCUACGGGAGGCAGCAGUGGGGAAUAUUGCACAAUGGGCGCAAGCCUGAUGCAGCCAUGCCGCGUGUAUGAAGAAGGCCUUCGGGUUGUAAAGUACUUUCAGCGGGGAGGAAGGCGAUAAGGUUAAUAACCUUGUUGAUUGACGUUACCCGCAGAAGAAGCACCGGCUAACUCCGUGCCAGCAGCCGCGGUAAUACGGAGGGUGCAAGCGUUAAUCGGAAUUACUGGGCGUAAAGCGCACGCAGGCGGUCUGUCAAGUCGGAUGUGAAAUCCCCGGGCUCAACCUGGGAGCUGCAUUCGAAACUGGCAGGCUAGAGUCUUGUAGAGGGGGGUAGAAUUCCAGGUGUAGCGGUGAAAUGCGUAGAGAUCUGGAGGAAUACCGGUGGCGAAGGCGGCCCCCUGGACAAAGACUGACGCUCAGGUGCGAAAGCGUGGGGAGCAAACAGGAUUAGAAACCCUGGUAGUCCCA